RNAcentral lists this ribosomal RNA (397 nucleotides) under uncultured bacterium. Its description in RNAcentral is "bacterial SSU rRNA". It matches the Rfam family "Bacterial small subunit ribosomal RNA", at positions 28 to 429 of the family's 1533-position model. The record is from RNAcentral.
GACGAACGCUGGCGGCGUGCUUAACACAUGCAAGUCGAGCGGUAAGGCCCUUUCGGGGUACGACGAGCGGCGAACGGGUGAGUAACACGUGGGUGACCUGCCCUCAGCUCUGGGAUAAGCCUGGGAAACCGGGUCUAAUACUGGAUAUGACUCCAUGACGCAUGUUGUGGGGUGGAAAGCCUUGUGCGGCUGAGGAUGGGCCCGCGGCCUAUCAGCUUGUUGGUGGGGUGAGGCCUACCAAGGCGACGACGGGUAGCCGGCCUGAGAGGGCGACCGGCCACACUGGGACUGAGACACGGGCCCAGACUCCUACGGGAGGCAGCAGUGGGGAAUCUUGCGCAAUGGGCGAAAGCCUGACGCAGCGACGCCGCGUGAGGGAUGACGGCCUCGGUGUAAC